CAGCAAGUUUGCCGAUGACACCAAGCUGAGUGCUGCAAUUGACGAUACAGGAGGAAGCGAUGCUGUCCAGAGGGAUCUGGGCACACUUGAAAAGUGGACCUAGGAAAACUGAAUAAUGUUGAACAAGGCCAAAUGCAAGAGGAUGGUGAGGCGCUGGAACAGGCUGCCUGGAGAAGUUGUGGAUGCUCCAUCCCUGGAGGUGUUCAAGGCCAGGUUGGAUGCGGCCCCAGGCAUCAUGAUCUGUUGUCCAGCAAGCUGCCCUGCUUGGCAGCCCAGGGCUCUGAAGCACCUUGGCCUGGGAAAGUUGUGUUUCAUGCAUUCCUCCGCAGAACCCACUUCUCUCAGGUAGCCCCUGCUCAACGCUCCCUUGGUCCAGCUCAUUUACAUCAAGCAUGCUGGAGCAGAUAAUGGAUUUCAGCAGAAUGACUGUGAGUGCUUGUUGCCUUUACCUUUUAAUUGCUACUUUAUUCUAAGACCCUAUUAUUUAGUUUGCUACCUGCUGGCAAUCCACUUCAAUCUUCUGAGUACCUUUUGCAAGUAGACCCUCACCCAGUUAUGGUCCCUGUUUCCAAACUGACGUCCUUAACAUGUGGAGAUGUUUCAUCAGCUCUCGCUUUAACCUCCCACUGACAUUGUUUUCUCUUUUCAGCCACCACAUUUUUCCCCGUUACUUUUUCAUCUCAGAACCUUGUGCUGCUUCUGCCGUGAUUUGCGUAGAAAAGCCUACAUACUUUGUGACAAAGCUGCUACGACAAUGUACAUUUUGUUAAUUUAUGUUACCACAGCAACUGAGUCAUGCAAAAAUGUAAUGUCACGUUGUUUGAUGCUGUAUCUCAGUGUGCUCAGGGAAACAGGCUCUGUGUAGAGCUGCCUUGAAACCAGGGCUGAACUGGCCAGUGUCAGGAGCUGUGGCAGAAUGGGUGCACCCUGUAGGAUCCUCCAGCAAUCCAAAUCUGGUUCUGCUCUGUUCUGGGAGGAAAUGCAGAUGUACUGGAGGAGGGGGCUUAGGUCUUGACAAGCACAAAACUGGUCCAGGAAACAAGGCACAGCUUAGGAGGACAAAAGCAGGCUGUUGAACUUAGGUGUUAAAAAUCAGACUGAAUCAGGGAGAGGAGCAACUGGUGAAAAAGUAACUGUCAGAAAGAAGUGUGGAGUUUACUGUAAGCCACAAGCUGAACAUGAAUCAGCAACAUGUGUUUGUGGUGAAAAUAGUAAAAAUCCCAGGCAGAUAUGCAUGUGGGAAGUGAUCCAUACUCGGUGCAGUGUAUAGGAGAUCAGCAUCAGGGCUGGGUUUGUGCACCAGAGGCAGAAGGUUGUGAACCACCAGGAGACAGUGCAGGUAGCAGAAACAGUGAGCAAAGGGCUGGGGAGACCAAAGGGGCCAGAGCUGUUGGGUAAAGAGGGCAGAGGAAACAUGCCAAGAGUCUUCACGUGCUUAAAAAGCCAUUGAGAGAGGAAGGGAAUAAUCUAUUCUUGGUAGAUAAAGUAAGAUGUAAUGGUCUUAAAUUUCAUCAUGGAAGAAAAGCUUUUUAAUGGUAACAUUAGUGAGACACAGCGUUAUGUUGCUGAGAGUUCAGUAGUGUCUCCAUUACUGGAUGUCUUUAAGUAUGUACUGGACAAGUAGUAAGUAUUGAUCUGAUGUUGGAAUUGGAGGAUGGAUGAGAUGACCCAUCAAGAUCCAUCCCAGACCUGUCUUUCUGUGAUUACAUGUACUCUGAGGCAUUAAUCUCAUUAAUCACUAUUCCUUUACCCAGUCACGUUUUACAUUCUGUCUUCUAUGUAAUACCCUCCCAGGUCAUUCCUGUGAAUAUUUUGUCCCAUUUUCCUCAGAGUACAGUCAAAGACUGCAGCCUUUCUUUUGCUGGCAGCCUGCAACAGACCCAGGUUGGUGACUUGUACUGCAGUGAGUUGCUGAGGUAACUAUGAUAAUUUAACAUGAGUCAAACAUACAAAAAAUUAGUUAGAUGGCUGUUUCAGUCUAUUCAAACCCUACACAAUAUUAACAUAAAUUUAGGCUCUUUAGACAUAUACUAGAUAAAACUACUCCAUUUGUAACCCAAAGCCCAGCUCAUACACACUAUCUUAAUUUCCCCUAUUUUCACUACCAGGAACCCGUAGAAGCUUCAGUGAAUGGUGCUAUGUUCUUUAUUUUCUAGGCAAGAUUUGCUUUUGCAAUGGUGUAUGUUUAAAAACUGUAGUUUAAUACCCACAUAGACAUUUCAGUUUAACAUAAAUACCUUAUACUGUGAGCAAUGGGCAUUUGUUUACUUGUCAAAUCCGAUCAACAGACAGCAUGCCUGAUUGGUUUUCUGUUUUUCUCCCCAUAUUAUCUACUCUAAUUAGAUAUUGCUUCUUGCUACAAAGUUUUGCUGUUACAGGCUUAAAUCAGCAUGUCACUGACACACGCAUUUUGGGCAUCCUGGGGUAAGAAGGCUAUUGCAGUAAUUGCUAGUGCUUAAUACAAUGCUUGUAGAGCUUUUAAGGACAGUGUACAUUGGGAGUUUAAACUUACCUUUUUCCCUCUUAAACAUAACUUUGCAAAUUGGAUGGUCAUUUUAUCCUUUGAAGAAAGAGGAUUUUCUUCCUGUACUCAAUGCCCAUUGCAGAUUAGAAGUGUGCUUUUUGCACACACAGCAUGUAUUGCCCAUUUCAUUUACCUGCACAGGCCCUUAUGCUUGCACUUGUGCUGAUCUCUGUAUUCGUACUGUUGUGGAAAAAGAAGUGGGGAAUAAAGUGGCAAAAUGUCAUGAUAAUAUUCUUGGUUUUUUUUUCUUUUUCAGGGUCAUAUAAACUAAAAUGCAGAGAUUAAGAACUAUUGAUCCCAUGCGAGGCAAAAGGCAUUGGAGUUACAUAGAAAAUACCACUGUUCAGCAGUGGCUGCGAGAAAUAGAUGUUCAGAGAAAAAAAACAGAAAACAGGAUGUAUCAAUAUGCUACUGUUCAAAUAUCAGAUGCUCCAGAGUUUGGAUGCUGCAAGCAGUUCUUGCCUCCAUGUCUCAAAAAGGGACACAGCAGUGUGAGGGAAGAGGGAUGGUCGAGGAUGUGGAGCAGCUCCUCCAUGAGGUGUGACUGAGCAGACACUCUGCCUGGAAAGAGCAAGAGAGAAUCACAGAGUCAUUAAGGUUGGAAAAGACCUUUGAGAUCACAUAGUCCAACCGUCAGCCCAUCACCACCAUACCCAUGAAACUGUGUCCCUCAGUGCCACAUUUACCCUGGGUCUGAGAGAGAUCUCUGAACGAUGGAGAGCUUGAAAAUCACAAAUAGUAUGUAAUUAUUUGGUGUUUUUCGUGAUGGAAGAUUUAGGGAGCAGCAGAUGAAGUUGUCAAAUGUCAGGUUUCAGAGUAACCAAAGGAGUGACUCCCUGAAUCUACCAGUGCUUUCAAAAGGCAAACAUACAUUCAUGGAAAAAGAAUCCCUCUAGCACGUCCCUAAGGCAUCUCCUAGCCAUUAGCUCCCCUCUGGCACCUCUAUGCACUUGUUUGGUUUGAGUGCUUGGCAGAGGACUCCUUCAGCUGGCUGCUGCCAGAGGAAGGUGCAGGGCAUGGCAGAGACCUCCAUCCCAGUGCAGCUGUUUGUACAAUGUUGUUUGUUUGCUGAGAGAGCUCUGAAUGCCUUUGACUUCUCCUGGGCUGUGUUCCUGCAGCCUCACAGAGCUGUGGGAGGCAGCAAGGCUGGGAAGUAAUCAAAGGGAUAAACAGGAGGCAGAAAGCUGUCUUUGAAGAGUCAGCAUUUUUGGGGGUGAAAAAAAAAGAUUGCUACAUACAUAUGUAGACUCAGACAAGCACGGGCUCCAUUUUCACCUUCCCCUCAGUCAUGAAAGCCAAUCAAAGUCCUAAGGCACUCUGAGGCCACAAAAUGGUAUUGCUGGGAUGAGGGAGCCAGGGGAGAGCUCUUUGUCUGUGUCUGUGGGAAUGGUGCAAAACAGCCUCCGUCUUGCAGCCCGGAGCCAUUACCAGGGGUCUCUGAGGUGGGCUGGGGUGGGCCAUGUGCUACUCACAGGCAUUCCAGAACUCCACAGGAAGCAGGAUUACUCACUGUCAGCAAAUCCAGUGGCAUGACUGGAAACUAGCCUGGGAGUCUUCUUCCCAGCAGAGAAUAGGAAAGCAGAUACCUGACAUUUGCAAAAAGGCUGGCUGACGGGAAUAUUAAAGAGGCUUUUGCUUAGCUGGAUGUGUGCAUGUUGGCUUCCGGGGCCCAGAAGAAUGGGAGAGUUGUAGAGGCUUACAGGGGCUUGUAGGAAGGCUGAGACACUGCACAACCAGAGGACAGCAUUGCUGGGGGUUCUUAUGCCAAAGGAAGGGGAAGGAAGGCUGGGGAAGGCAGUGACAAAACUCGGAGUUAGCCUAAGAGCUUUAUCCCUCCUUUAGGAAAAUCUUUAUUACACCUUAUAUUCAUAGAAUAAUAUAAUCAUUUGAAUUGGAAGAAACCCUUAGAGGCCAUGUAGUCCAACUCCCCAGCCAUGA
Numida meleagris (helmeted guineafowl) is the source of this 4462-nucleotide long non-coding RNA. RefSeq lists it as uncharacterized. The record is from RefSeq and is a predicted model, not a curated record. The transcript has 3 exons. Lineage: Eukaryota; Metazoa; Chordata; Aves; Galliformes; Numididae.